RNAcentral lists this transfer RNA (88 nucleotides) under Campylobacterota bacterium. RNAcentral's name for it is "Epsilonproteobacteria bacterium (mullusc metagenome) tRNA-Leu". It matches the Rfam family "tRNA". From Rfam's summary of the family: Transfer RNA (tRNA) molecules are approximately 80 nucleotides in length. The record is from RNAcentral. Lineage: Bacteria; Pseudomonadati; Campylobacterota.
GCCCGAGUGGUGGAAUUGGUAGACACAGGGGACUUAAAAUCCCCCGGUCAUUGAGACCGUGCCGGUUCAAGUCCGGCCUCGGGCACCA